Molecule: long non-coding RNA, 2412 nt
Organism: Gorilla gorilla gorilla (western lowland gorilla)
Lineage: Eukaryota; Metazoa; Chordata; Mammalia; Primates; Hominidae
Exons: 3
Source: RefSeq, a predicted model, not a curated record
UUCGCCACUAGCUGCAUCGCCACGAAGGAGUUCCCGUGCCCUGGGAGCGGAUUCAGGACCGCUGAUCGGAAAUUCUCCAGUACAAGAAGAGGUUCUCGGAGCUGGAGCAGCUGUUGGAGAGAUCCGGAGAGCUGGAGCAGCAGCAGCUGAGGGACACAGAGCACAGCCAAGACCUGGAGAGUGCCCUCAUCUGGCUGGAGGAGGAGCAGCAAGGAGGGCCAGGGCUGGCAGCAUGGCCCCCUGGGCGAGCGCCUACUGAUCCCCUGUGCCCCAUUCAGGAGUGCCAGCCUGGCCCAGGUGAAUGCCAUGCUCUGAGAACAGCUGGACCAGGCAGCUUUGGCCAACCAGGCUCUGAGUGAGGAGAUACGAAAGGUGACCAGUGACUGGACUCGCAGCUGCAAGGAGCUGGAGCAGUGGGAGGCGGCAUGGAGGCGCGAGGAGGAGGUGGGCAUGGGGGUGCAGGGAGGCCAGCAAUAUAAGAGGAAGAUAAUGCACAAUUAUGCUAGUAAGACUCUCUUUUCCAAUAAUGUUUGCUCUUCUCAAUACUACAUUUAAAAAGGAAAUAGUAGCACUUGAACAGUUAAGUAAGAAGAUGAACAAAAUUGAACAGAGGAAAAAUAAGUGUCUGAAGACAUGUUGAAAAUACAUUUAGAGACAGUCUGUCUGAGACAGGAGCUGAGCUGGCCAAUCCAUCUUUUAAAUAAUUGAACAUCAUUCAGGUGUCAAGUAUUUGACCUGGAGCCUGGAAGGGGAGGAGAGAGUCCAAAAAAAAGUCAAAAUAUAAAGAAAAAAAAAUUAAAGAAUUUGUCCCACAAAUCAGGCAACCAAGGUCUAAACUUAUACCCUCUGCCUGGGUAAAUUGUUGUUGCUUCUUUCUGUGACUCUUAAAAGAUGUACAAUAUACCUCAUUUAAUGACUUUGAUUUAUUCAUGAAAACUCUAUCCCCAUGGGAAAAGCUGUUAAAUGAAAAAAGAUUUCUUUUAAGUAGAAAAAUUAUGAAAGGAUUCCUUCCAACCCUCCAUACCCAAAAUUUCUCAAAUGAAUUAUAUAUCUAUCAAUUAUCAAUAUAUAUCAAAAUAUAUCAAUUAAAAAUAUCGGUUAAACAAUACAUCAAUUGAACUAUGAAAGCAAGCUUAUUUAAGUAGCAAAGAAUAACGUGAAGGUUAGUAAGUAUAGCUUAUACUUAAAAUACAAUGAAUUGAAAGCUCAUGGCACUUCAUAUAGUAGGAAGAAGAAACUUAAUAGAAAGUGGUAGCUGAGGGAGAAGGACUGCAAGGGAGUUAUUUGGAAAAUGCAUUUUUUUUAUUUCUGCAUCAUUUUGUUCACAAAUUAUUCUUAAUCUUUUGUGAAUUUGUGGAUCUCUUGAACUCAAACCAGACUUAAAAAUACAGUUAUAGCACAGAAAAAAAUCUUUAAUGGCAAAAUAAAAGCUAAGCAAGAGAGCCUUUCAAAACACAUGAAAACAACACACACAUACAAAAAAAAAAGAAUAAAGAGAUGUACAAGUGACACCUCCUCAACCUUCUCACUUGGUGUACGUAUGCACAGUAAAUUAUUUUGGGCUCAGCCAAGCAUGGGAGCAAUUCAAAUAGAUCCAUAUGAUAUUCUCUGAUUAGAAACUCUUUGGAGUAAGUUGGUGAGUGUAUCUUUGCCUAAAACAGUCAUGUCAAAAUAUAGCUUCCUAUAGCAUAUUUAUUUAGUAUCAUUUUGGUGAAAAAGUGGUUAUACAGAAUAGAAAAGAGUUGUCCAAAACUAAGUGGUUGACCUUUCCAGAGCCAUUCCCUGCAGAAUUGUUAUGUAAGUCUGUUCCAUACUCAUAAAGGAAUACUCAGCUGACCCAACUGAUUUUCUCGUGUUUUUUCCUUCAAGGGCUAGUAGAAGUCUAUAUGUUGUGGUGGGAAACAACCUCAGCCCUAUAGUCCAACAUUUGCCUAUCAAAACUUGUCCUAUGAUUUACAAAACUAGAACCUCACUGGUAAGUCACAUUCCCAGAGUCUCCCCCAUCCCUAACCCCAGUCACGGAAAGUAAAUCAAAUCAUUGUCACUCUUUCUUAACAAAGAGUAUACAUUUACAACUUGAGUAAAAUUACAGGUACCGUCUGGGGCCUUCAAGGGGGAACUUGAAGUCUCAAUACCGCAGUUGUCCAAUCAGAGGAUCCAAGAUGAAUAUACUCAAGGACUUUAUGCUUGGCAUCCUCUGGAGACAGUACAUAACCACCAGCUUGGUUUAACUGGAGAUUCAUUUGGGUUAGGAGAAAUUAUGUAGGCAAUGUACUUAGUCAAUGGAGGCCUUAUGCCUGAAGACUUACAAGAAUCUGAAUUCGUACGUUACUUUUCCUUUAAUGGAGUGGAAUUCCAAAUGAAAAUAAUCAAACAGCAUGUGCAUAAACAUUAGAUAUAAUACCCACAUUU